AAGAAGAUAAAGACAUUAUUUAAUUAUCCUCUUCGGGAUAUGAAAGUACCACGUGGAAGAUGGAGGCCAACUAUUUCUUCUUCAGGAGAGUCAAAAGAACCACAUUGAAGAAGAGGUUCACAAUAGAUGCUAAAAAAUCUAAGGGUGCUCAUGGCCCGAAUACGUUUCCAGGCAGAGUUUGUGAGCUGAGUUCGCAAAGGUGCGGAUGAAGACCGUUCGCUGGGCUUCACUAGUACAAAGACAGGCUGACAGUGCAAAGACGAAGAGGAAUGGUCCCAGCCAUCAGGAAACUCAGCAGCUUGGAAGAUACUAAACAGCCACUCCUCCAGGAUGUUAUGGCUCAUGUCCCAAGUUGUUGGGAAGGAACCUCUGGUUGCAGCAGGACUGACUGUACAAUUUGUGAGCCCAGUGUGAAAUGAAAAUGCAGGGCCCCUUGAUCAAAAAUUAUAAAAAAAUCUCAAGACAGCGCCAGCAGAGCAUUAAAACAAGCCCCAAGUCCCAGGCACCACACAGCCUCGCUCUUCUGCAGUUCAGCUCUUCCUUUUACGUUCCUCUUCUGGCUACCUCAUUUAUCCUUCCGUAAACCUUCACUGAUGAGAGAUGUGGUAACCCAAGCAAGUCUAUCGUUCUUGCAACUAAAAUGAACCAGCACACUUAGGACACGACAGGGUUCCUGCUGUCAUUUCUUCCUCUUACCUUGUACAGUCUAAAAAUUGCAGGGAUGUAUUAAAAUGCUUUCUACUCCAUGUUAUUUUAGGUAAUAUUUAAUUAGGUUUUUAUGCUUUAAUACGAUGUCUGAUGUUCUGGAUCGUAUCCUCUAAUUUUUUCUACUAUAAUAAAGUUCCUGACACUA
Gorilla gorilla gorilla (western lowland gorilla) is the source of this 853-nucleotide long non-coding RNA. RefSeq lists it as uncharacterized. The transcript is spliced from 2 exons. Lineage: Eukaryota; Metazoa; Chordata; Mammalia; Primates; Hominidae. The record is from RefSeq and is a predicted model, not a curated record.